Molecule: small nuclear RNA, 131 nt
Filed under: Chinchilla lanigera (long-tailed chinchilla)
Lineage: Eukaryota; Metazoa; Chordata; Mammalia; Rodentia; Chinchillidae
Description: U4 spliceosomal RNA (ENSCLAG00000020519.1)
Rfam family: U4 spliceosomal RNA
About the family: U4 small nuclear RNA (U4 snRNA) is a component of the major U2-dependent spliceosome.
Source: Rfam by way of RNAcentral
AGCUUUGCGCAGUGGCAGUAUCAUAGCCAGUGAGGUUUAUCGGAGGCACCACUAUUGCUAAUUGAAAAAAAUUGACUAGUUUAUAGAUAAAGUUUAAGGUCAUCAAUCUUACUUGAAAUUAUUUGAAAGUA